Molecule: ribosomal RNA, 520 nt
Filed under: Rhodotorula dairenensis
Lineage: Eukaryota; Fungi; Basidiomycota; Microbotryomycetes; Sporidiobolales; Sporidiobolaceae
Description: eukaryotic LSU rRNA
Rfam family: Eukaryotic large subunit ribosomal RNA
Source: RNAcentral
CGGGAAGAGCUCAAAUUUAUAAUCUGGCACCUUCGGUGUCCGAGUUGUAAUCUCUAGAAAUGUUUUCCGCGCUGGACCGCACACAAGUCUGUUGGAAUACAGCGGCAUAGUGGUGAGACCCCCGUAUAUGGUGCGGAUGCCCAGCGCUUUGUGAUACAUUUUCGAAGAGUCGAGUUGUUUGGGAAUGCAGCUCAAAUUGGGUGGUAAAUUCCAUCUAAAGCUAAAUAUUGGCGAGAGACCGAUAGCGAACAAGUACCGUGAGGGAAAGAUGAAAAGCACUUUGGAAAGAGAGUUAACAGUACGUGAAAUUGUUGGAAGGGAAACGCUUGAAGUCAGACUUGCUUGCCGAGCAAUCGGUUUGCAGGCCAGCAUCAGUUUUCCGGGAUGGAUAAUGGUAGAGAGAAGGUAGCAGUUUCGGCUGUGUUAUAGCUCUCUACUGGAUACAUCUUGGGGGACUGAGGAACGCAGUGUGCCUUACGGCGGGGGUUUCGACCUCUUCACACUUAGGAUGCUGGUGGAA